GUCCCUGUAGCGCAAUAAAUAGCGCGUUGUACUUCUAGUUCAAAGAUCGUGGGUUCGAAUCCUACUUGGGAUG
Trichonephila clavipes is the source of this 73-nucleotide non-coding RNA. The record is from the annotation of a GenBank genome assembly. NCBI's taxonomy places the organism in Eukaryota, Metazoa, Arthropoda, Arachnida, Araneae, Nephilidae.